This 330-nucleotide ribosomal RNA is filed under the name uncultured Actinomycetes bacterium. RNAcentral's name for it is "bacterial SSU rRNA". It matches the Rfam family "Bacterial small subunit ribosomal RNA", at positions 36 to 358 of the family's 1533-position model. Lineage: Bacteria; Bacillati; Actinomycetota; Actinomycetes. The record is from RNAcentral.
CUGGCGGCGUUGCUCACACAUGCAGAGGAAAACGAGCUCCAACCAGUCGCAAGACUGGGGAAGAGCUAGUGUUUAACCGGUGAGUAACACGUGAGCAACCUGCCUCGAAGACUGGGAUAACAGCGGGAAACCGCUGCUAAUACCGGAUAUCCCCAUCGGGCCGCAUGACCUGAUGAGGAAUGAAUUUCGCUUCGAGAGGGGCUCGCGGGCUAUCAGCUUGUUGGUGGGGUAACGGCCCACCAAGGCUACGACGGCUAGCUGGUCUGAGAGGGUGUACGGCCACACUAGAACUUAGAUACGGUCCAGACUCCUACGGGAGGCAGCAGUGGG